AACGAACGCUGGCGGCAUGCCUAACACAUGCAAGUCGAACGAGACCUUCGGGUCUAGUGGCGCACGGGUGCGUAACGCGUGGGAACCUGCCCUUAGGUUCGGAAUAACUCCCCGAAAGGGGUGCUAAUACCGGAUAAUGUCUUCGGACCAAAGAUUUAUCGCCUUUGGAUGGGCCCGCGUUGGAUUAGCUAGUUGGUAGGGUAAAAGCCUACCAAGGCGACGAUCCAUAGCUGGUCUGAGAGGAUGAUCAGUCACACUGGGACUGAGACACAGCCCAGACUCCUACGGGAGGCAGCAGUGGGGAAUAUUGGACAAUGGGCGAAAGCCUGAUCCAGCAAUGCCGCGUGAGUGAUGAAGGCCUUAGGGUUGUAAAGCUCUUUUACCCGGGAUGAUAAUGACAGUACCGGGAGAAUAAGCUCCGGCUAACUCCGUG
RNAcentral lists this ribosomal RNA (433 nucleotides) under uncultured bacterium. Its description in RNAcentral is "partial 16S ribosomal RNA". It matches the Rfam family "Bacterial small subunit ribosomal RNA", at positions 29 to 507 of the family's 1533-position model. The record is from RNAcentral.